RNAcentral lists this long non-coding RNA (1324 nucleotides) under Homo sapiens (human). RNAcentral describes it as "non-protein coding lnc-TM2D2-5:2". Lineage: Eukaryota; Metazoa; Chordata; Mammalia; Primates; Hominidae. The record is from RNAcentral.
AGCUCAGCAGGGAAGCCGCGGGCUCCUGACAUCUGUGGCCAAACCUGCGCUGCUCUGUGAGGAAGGAUGGGGGAGAGCCAGAGCCGGCAGCGCAGGGAGCACGCAUGUUCACAUACACACGCCACACCACACAGGGUCUCAUGUAUACACACACACCACACGCAUGCACAGUCACACAUGCACCUCCCCCAGCAGUCUCACACCCACAUCAUACACCCCCACCCAUACCCACUCUCUCUCACACACACACACCAUACACACAGUCACACACACCACACAAUCACACACACACCACACACCCUCACCCAUACCCAGUCUCACACACACACCACAUAGUCACACACACCACACCCCUAACCCAUACAGCCUCACAUACAUACACACACCACACACAGUCAUAUACACACCACACCCCCAACCCAUACACAGUCUCGCAUACACAUACACACACCACACACCUUCACCCAUACCCAGUCUCACACACACACCACACACACAAUCACACACACCACACACCCUCACCCAUACCCAGUCUCUCUCUCACACACACACACCCCACGUAGUCACACACACCACAUUCCUGACCCAUACAGCCUCACAUACAUAUACACACACCACACAUAUAAUCACACACCACACACCCCCACCCAUGCAGUAUCACAUACACCACACACCUAGUUACACACAUACCACACACACCCCCCACCAUACACAGUCUUACAUACACAUAUACACACUACACAUGUAGUCACACACACCACACCCCCAACCCAUACACAGUCUCAUACACAUACACACACCACACAAUCACACACACCACACACACCCUCCCAUACACAGUCUCAUACACACACACACCACACACCUAGUCACACAUAUACCACACACACCCCCACCCAUACAGUCUCUCACACACACACACACCACACAGUCACACAAACCUCCCCACAACAGUCUCACACACACACCAUACACCUCCACCCCCACAGCCUCAUAUCCACGCACCACGCAGUCUCACACACACCACACAUAUCACACACUCCCAUCCCCACAGUCUCAUGUACACAUAUACACCCCACACACAUAGUCACACACACCACACACAGUCACACACACACCUCCCCCGACAGUCUUACAUACACAGUCUCACACACACCACACACCCCCACCCACACAUUGAGUCUCUGGUACACAUAUAACCACACACACCACACCUACCCCCAACUCUCACAUAAGCCCACAGUCACACACAUACCUCCCACACACAGUUUCACAUAUAUAUAUGGUGACACACACACAUUGCACAUAUACCCCUCAAAGUCUC